Molecule: long non-coding RNA, 1208 nt
Filed under: Homo sapiens (human)
Lineage: Eukaryota; Metazoa; Chordata; Mammalia; Primates; Hominidae
Description: HSALNT0285564
Source: RNAcentral
AGUGGCUUGAAGGUCUUUUUAAAUUGUUGUUGUUAUGUUUUUAUUUUAUUUUACUUUAUUUUUAAAUAGAGAUGAGGUCUUGCUAUGUUGUCCAGGCUGGUCUCAAACUCCUGGGCUCAAGCAGCUCGCCUGUCUUGGCCUCCCAAAGUGCAGGGAUUGCAGAUGUGAGCCACCAUGCUUGGCCCUUGCUAUAUUUUAAAUAGUUAAAAAUACUGUUUUUGUUUUUUUGUUUUUCCUUGCUGAAUACUUGGGAAAAUUGGUUUGUGUCUGUGGCAAAGGAAUUCAACAAUACUUUCAUUUUCAGGUCAGACUAUUUUAAGAAAAUAGAAGACUAUCAUUUACAGCUGGUAUGGCCCUGUGGUGGUGUGGACCCAGACUUCAAACACAGAUGAAGAUCGAAAACUGAUAUCCCGCAUCUGAUAUCAGGAUGAGUUGCAGAAAAACUCCUCAGACACCGGAUUAAAGAAGGAAGAGGUUUUUUAUUUGUCCGGGAGCGUCGGCAGACUCGCGUCUUAAGAGCCGAGCUCCCCGAAAAAGAAAUUCCUAGCCCUUUUAAGGCCUUACAACUCUAAGGAGUCUACGUGAAAGAGUCAUAAUAGAUCAAACAAAUUAAGAAUUCAGAGCCCAAUCCUAACUUCAAGCCAAGAAGUAAAAAAAGGAAGAAAAAAUCAAGACGCUCAGAACAGAACUCCAGCAAUAUUGAACCCAGACAGAGCUUCACUGUGUUGCCCAGGCUAGAGGGUAGUGGCGUGAUCAAGGCUCACUGCAGACUCAACCUCCUAGGCUCAAGUAUAUUCUCCUCAGCUUCCAGUAUAUUCUCCUGCAAGAACAUACCACCCCACACCUGGCUAAUUUUAAAAUGUUUUGUAGAGACAGGGUCCCACUAUGUUGUUCAGGCUGGUCUCAAACUCCUGGCCUUAAGUGAUCCUCCUGCCUCAGCCUCCCAAAGUGCUGGGAUUAUAGGCAUGAGCCACCACAUCUAGCCACAAAACUUGUUUAGAGAAAAAAUUGUUAUGAUGAUGUGAAUAAUUGGGUCCACAAUAUUUCCUUUUAGAAAGAAAAUUGGCCAGGCGCGGUGGCUCACGCCUGUAAUCCUAGCACUUUGGAAGGUCGAGGUGGGCAGAUCACCUGAAGUCGGGAGUUCGAGACCAGCCUGACCAACAUGGAGAAACCCCGUCUCUACUCAAAAUACAAAAAAUUAGCCGGGC